Molecule: long non-coding RNA, 765 nt
Organism: Egretta garzetta (little egret)
Lineage: Eukaryota; Metazoa; Chordata; Aves; Pelecaniformes; Ardeidae
Exons: 3
Source: RefSeq, a predicted model, not a curated record
CGGCCGGGCCCGGCGUGCGGUGAGGGCGCUGGCCUGGUUUGCUCCGCCAUGCCCGAGCCUCUGGCAGAUGGGAAGGGGCACUGCAAAGGCAGAGGGGGUGUUGAGCCUCAUGGAGACUUGAUGUGAUGGCUGUGAUUAAUUGUGAUUCACGAGGGCAGUUGCCUGGGUUGCUCCAUCAUAUGUGCCCCUCUGACAGGGGAGAAUGGUUGAGAUUUGUCAGAAGUUGUCCUGGGAACCUGCUGUGAUUUCAGUGUACUAGCAGAAACCUGUCUUCUGCUAACGAUGUCCCUCUCCAUGCUGCUCCCUGUGAUCCCUUGUCCAAGCUACAGCAUUCACAUCACCCUGCAACAGCAGCUCUGGUCUUUCUCAGAGCUAGCAGGAGUGAUAAAUUGGUGCCCUGCCAACUUAGAGACAGAGGGUGUUAUAUUUUUCUUUCCCUUGGUAUGAGGCAUUUGAUGGUAGUCCAUGUUUAAUGUAAUUGGGUGCUUUUGUCUGCAAGGGCUGCAUUCACCACCUGACAGCUUAUGUUAUCCUACCACAAUCAUUAAAAGUAAGGAAGCCUCUCCUUAGAGAGCAGUUGUCAAGUAUGGGAAGAUGGCCUUCUGCGUAAGGAGAGUGGGAUACAAGUCUUGGCUCUCGCCUGUCAUCCAGAAAGCUUCGGUAAUGUAUUGGCAGCCUGUAAAGUGGGGAAGGGGCAUCUUGGAUGCUGCAGCACGGUGUGUAUUUCUGUACUGUUUAGAGCCUAUUUUUAAUAAAAUCUAAGUA